RNAcentral lists this long non-coding RNA (407 nucleotides) under Anser brachyrhynchus (Pink-footed goose). Its description in RNAcentral is "lncRNA (ENSABRG00000018052.1)". Lineage: Eukaryota; Metazoa; Chordata; Aves; Anseriformes; Anatidae. The record is from RNAcentral.
GACAGAGCCCACUCCGAGGAAGAAGAGGACCUGGGCAUAGGGGCUGUCAGCAAGCCACCACGACUUCUUGUCUCGCUAAUCUACAAGGGUUUUAACCAUGUACUGCAGAGAUACUAUGUAGAGCUAUUUCAUGACCUGCUACGUGACAAGGGGCCCACGAUGAAGACACUGUUUUCUGAGCUGUUUCAGUGCUAAUUCCAUGCAGAUGUGCAAGAGAUAAGGCAAAGAUGCUUGUGUUUGAAUUUCUGCUAAAAGGUGGCUUCCAUCAGCUUGUCGUUCGUGGAGCAUUGUCUUAUGGGACUGUGGAAAAAGAGAGGCAAACAGCUUGCUCGGAAGCACCCAGGGGAGCUCUGCACUCCCAUCAGACCCACAGCUGCCUAGCAGGCUCCUCUGAAGUUCAUUCCUGA